GAUGAAGAACGCAGCGAAAUGCGAUACUUGGUGUGAAUUGCAGAAUCCCGUGAACCAUCGAGUCUUUGAACGCAAGUUGCGCCCGAAGCCAUUAGGCCGAGGGCACGCCUGCCUGGGCGUCACACGUCGUUGCCCCCCCAUCUACUCCUUCGGGAUUGCGGGGGGCGGAUGAUGGCCUCCCGUGCGCCUCGUCGCGCGGUUGGCCUAAAUGCCAAGUCCUCGGCGACGCACGCCACGACAAUCGGUGGUUGCGAAACCUCGGUUGCCCGUCGUGUGCGGUCGUCGCGCAUCGAGGGCUCGAAAAAAUUGCCGGGCUUCGGCUCGACUUUCAACGCGACCCCAGGUCAGGCGGGGUUACCCGCUGAGUUUAAGCAUAUCAAUAAGCGGAGGA
Molecule: unclassified non-coding RNA, 391 nt
Filed under: soil metagenome
Description: partial contains 5.8S ribosomal RNA, internal transcribed spacer 2, and large subunit ribosomal RNA
Rfam family: 5.8S ribosomal RNA (bases 1-122)
Source: RNAcentral